AGAGUUUGAUCAUGGCUCAGAAUCAACGCUGGCGGCGUGCCUCAGACAUGCAAGUCGAACGCGAAAGUUCCCUUCGGGGGGCGAGUAGAGUGGCGCACGGGUGAGUAACACGUAGGUAAUCUACCUUCGGAUGGGGAAUAACAACCGGAAACGGUUGCUAAUACCGCAUAAUGCAGCGGCACCUAAUGGUGACAGUUGUUAAAGCGGGGGAUCGUAAGACCUCGCGUCUGGAGAGGAGCCUGCGGCGGAUUAGCUAGUUGGUAAGGUAACGGCUUACCAAGGCUAUGAUCCGUAGCCGGCCUGAGAGGGCGGUCGGCCACACUGACACUGACAUACGGGUCAGACUCCUACGGGAGGCAGCAGUCGGGAAUUUUGGGCAAUGGGCGAAAGCCUGACCCAGCAACGCCGCGUGAAGGAUGAAAUCCUUCGGGAUGUAAACUUCGCAAGAACGGGAAGAAUAAGCCGGUAUUAACACCACCGGUGAUGACGGUACUGUUUGUAAGCUCCGGCUAACUCCGUGCCAGCCGCCGCGGUAAUAC
This 539-nucleotide ribosomal RNA is filed under the name uncultured bacterium. Its description in RNAcentral is "bacterial SSU rRNA". It matches the Rfam family "Bacterial small subunit ribosomal RNA", at positions 8 to 526 of the family's 1533-position model. The record is from RNAcentral.